GUGUGGUUUUCUGCAGAGUCCACUCUGUGUUCUGCAGACUCUGAGGAUAAAGGAUUGCAGGUUGUCAGAGAUCAGCUGUUCUUCUCUGGCCUCAGCUCUGAAGUCCAACCCCUCCCACCUGAAGGAGCUCCACCUGAGUCGCAACCAUCUGCAGUCUCCAGCUGUGCAGCAGCUGGUUGCUCUCCAGCAGAGUCCAGACUGCAGCCUGCAGACUCUGAGGUGGAAGAACUGAGAGCAGAGAGGAGGCUGGAUUGUCUCUCGCUGUCCAGGAGGUCUCCGCUGAUGUCGCAGCCAACGUAAAAGUCCCUCACGCACAUUUAAUAAACUUACUGUUUCAUACAAACAGGAGAAAUAUUGCUUGGAACUCGGUGUGUGUCUCACUUUGCCAGCUUUCACUGCGACAAGAAGGUGCUUUAAUUGACAUUCACCCAGAAACACUCAAACAAAAUGACACACAAAUGCAAAGAUUGCCUAUAGUCAAAGAAAUUGUACUCCAACAAGAUUUUAUCCAUAGUCUUUGAAACAUCCCCAAUUAAUUUAUCCCCUCUGUACUUAAAGGGAUACUUCAACAUUUUGGCAAAUUGGCCCAUUUAGCGCAAUUCCUUAGUCGUUUCCAACAGCAUACUUACUUUUUUUGUGAGGGCGAGCUAUUGUUUAUCCAGAGGUGAGUCG
Molecule: long non-coding RNA, 672 nt
Organism: Salarias fasciatus (jewelled blenny)
Lineage: Eukaryota; Metazoa; Chordata; Actinopteri; Blenniiformes; Blenniidae
Exons: 4
Source: RefSeq, a predicted model, not a curated record